RNAcentral lists this ribosomal RNA (505 nucleotides) under uncultured bacterium. RNAcentral's name for it is "partial 16S ribosomal RNA". It matches the Rfam family "Bacterial small subunit ribosomal RNA", at positions 28 to 507 of the family's 1533-position model. The record is from RNAcentral.
GACGAACGCUGGCGGCGUGCUUAAUACAUGCAAGUAGAACGCACAGUUUAUACCGUAGCUUGCUACACCAUAGACUGUGAGUUGCGAACGGGUGAGUCACGCGUCGGUAACCUGCCUGGUAGCGGGGGAUAACUAUUGUAAACGAUAGCUAAUACCGCAUAAUAUUAAUUAUUGCAAGAUAAUUAAUUCAAAGGUGCAAUUGCACCACUACCAGAUGGACCUGCGUUGUAUUAGCUAGUAGGGGAGGUAACGGCUCACCUAGGCGACGAUACAUAGCCGACCUGAAAGGGAGAACGGCCACACUGGGAGUGAGACACGGCCGAGACUCCUACGGGGGGCAGCAGUAGGGAAUCUUCGGCGAGGGAGGAGAGGCUGACCGAGCAACGCGGGGGGAGGGAAGAAGGAUUUCGGAUCGGAAAGCUCUGUUGUAAGAGGGGAAGGGGUGUGAGAGUGGAAAGGUCACAUUGUGACGGUAGCGGAACAGAAAGGGACGGCUAACUACGUG